RNAcentral lists this unclassified non-coding RNA (186 nucleotides) under Glomus sp. Its description in RNAcentral is "partial contains 5.8S ribosomal RNA and internal transcribed spacer 2". Lineage: Eukaryota; Fungi; Glomeromycota; Glomeromycetes; Glomerales; Glomeraceae. The record is from RNAcentral.
GUGAAUCAUCGAAUUUUUGAACGCAAAUUGCACCCUCCUCGGAGAGUAUGCGUGUUUGUGGGUCAGCCUCUAAAAAUUGACAUCUUUGCUGUUUCGCGGUUGCGUUCGGCGGAAAUUGGUUCAUCUUAAAUCCUUUUGAUUUAAGCGACUUAAAAUUUUCUUUUGGUUACAUGAACGUUUCGAAGA